This is a long non-coding RNA of Panicum virgatum (switchgrass), 2084 nucleotides long. RefSeq lists it as uncharacterized. The transcript is spliced from 5 exons. The record is from RefSeq and is a predicted model, not a curated record. NCBI's taxonomy places the organism in Eukaryota, Viridiplantae, Streptophyta, Magnoliopsida, Poales, Poaceae.
CGCCGCAGAUAGGGAGCGAGGCCCGCACGCACGCCGUCCGCGCGACGUGCUGCCUGCCGUCGUCCCCUUCGACGAAGCGCUGCCACUGCCAGGCCAGCGGCAUCUGCGAGCAUCACGCCGGCUCCGGCACCUGCGCGGCGGCACCGGUGACUCCGUUCGCUUCCACGCCGUGGGCAGGCCGGUGGCGCCGGGCGCGGCCAUCCCCUCGCGAGCGCGCCGCCGGACAGUAGCUUCCUCCCGUGCCUCGUCUUGAACGCGCGCCUCCACACGGCGCUCGAAUGACGUCGAGGAAGCACGCCGUGGUGAUGCGGCGGCGGCGCACCAUGCACGGACCAUGUGCAGAGGGGGGGGGGGGCAUGAGGAGAAGGGAUGCAUCUACGCAUUGGUAGAAUCCGAUUCAGUUUCAGAGUUCAGCAUCCGUUACGUACAUGGCCUGAAACUUCAGCUGGCUGAUCGUUCACUCUUUACCUUUCCACCUUGUUUCCCCAUCUAACAUUCACUACCAUUAUUCACUCACGGUAUCAUUUGACUUUAAUUAUUUGGACUUGAAAUCGUUGAUCAAUCGUUAAGCAUCUUGCUCUGAAAGUUUUCUUUGUGCUGAACUAACUCUCCUCCCUCUCUUGUGUCUGCUCAACUGCCUAUCACUCGUAGCAACUCCAUACAGUUCUGGAUAUAGCCAUCGAAACAAAUGAAGACAAUCAGUGACUCCAUAGGGAAUCAAACAAUACUGACAAUGUCAUGCAGCAAUUUUCAGUCACUGCUUUGUUCAAUACAAGACAGCCUACUAUUCAUUUUAUCUCCCUGUUCCAUGUGCACUUCUGCUGGCUGGUGAGAACUUGGAAUGGUGAUGUACAGAACAUUCUUGUUGAAAUGGGAACAUAAUUUCGAGUCCAGGAUGAUUAUCUAGAUUGUUUUGGUGAUCAUGAAUUCAUUGGCAAGAUUGAAAGGAACAUAUAGAUAGUCAUUAGUCAAUAACAUAAAUCCUUCACCAGGGUUAUCUCGGAGGUCUGCUUCGAGCUCUGGUGGUUCUGGACACGGGUUUAUACCAUUGGAUCCAGAAGUGCAAUUGCCAUUAGGAAGUGGAAGGUCCAAGAGGCAACAUUCAUCUGGAAGAAGCUUGGGGAAUCUUGAUCCAGUUGAUGAAGGACUUUCCACUGGAGCAAGAAGUGAGGGACUUCAAGAUGAGAAGACUUAUUAAUUACUCGUGGUCUUGGUAGCGAUAACAGAAGCACCAUUCUUUUGUUCUCUGUUACGUGGUAGACUUGGCAAUUUGCUUACUUAAAUAUGUAUAUGUAGAAUAUUUUAGAACAUACUUGUAGAUUUAAUGUCAGAAAUUAAAUGACUGAAGAUGAUCUGAAAGUUAGAAUUUGUUAUCUUCCACAUCUGCAGUAUAUGCUAUGCUGCUUACUGUCCAUAAAUAGCAUGGCUGCCAGUUACCAAAUUCUUUGAGUGAUUUGACACACAUGAUUUUUCUUCCAUGCAUAUGUGUGCAGUGCAUACAAAUUCUUGAGAUAAUUAAAUCAGACUUGCCUGCCUUGUGUUCUUCUUUUGUCUUACAGAGAUGAAAGAUGUCAUGGAAUUAUCCAAGAAAGCACGGCUUGAUCUUUCCUCUACUGCUCAGCCUGUAAAACCGUUCAACAAACCUGCAGCCAGAGCUCCUGAGGAUAAGCCUGCUGGAAAUAUUCCAUCUGCAGAGAAGAGUCAAAUUCCUCCAACAUGGCUGAAAAUUUCAUGCACAGUAUAGGUGGGGAUGUAUUGAUCAAGCCUGAUAACUCAGACACUGCAGCACAUAUGUCUGCGGUGUAUAUCAAAGUACACAUUAGCUUGCAUUGCAGUGCCCAAGGCGUCUGUGGUUGACACGCCAACAAAUAUGCGUACAUAUUUUGCACCGUACUUGAUAGAUAGAAUGAUACUUGGGAUACUAAGUUGACGGAUUUUGUGGCUUGGAGUUCUGGUUGUCAGGUAGCAUCUUCUAUAUAUUGUUCAUUGAUGACGAGCAAUUUCUAAUGUUUCUGUUGGUUGUGAUAAUAAGCAUUUAGGGGUUGGGGAUCCCUGUUGAUAAAUUGGUUGUCCAAUUCAAAUUA